Molecule: ribosomal RNA, 657 nt
Filed under: uncultured Actinomycetes bacterium
Lineage: Bacteria; Bacillati; Actinomycetota; Actinomycetes
Description: bacterial SSU rRNA
Rfam family: Bacterial small subunit ribosomal RNA
Source: RNAcentral
ACGGUGGGUGCUAGUUGUGGGCCACAUUCCACGUGGUCCGUGACGAAGUUAACACAUUAAGCACCCCGCCUGGGGAGUACGGUCGCAAGACUAAAACUCAAAGGAAUUGACGGGGGCCCGCACAAGCGGCGGAGCAUGCGGAUUAAUUCGAUGCAACGCGAAGAACCUUACCAAGGCUUGACAUAUAGAGGAAACGUGCAGAAAUGUACGCCCCGCAAGGUCUCUAUACAGGUGGUGCAUGGUUGUCGUCAGCUCGUGUCGUGAGAUGUUGGGUUAAGUCCCGCAACGAGCGCAACCCUCGUCCUAUGUUGCCAGCACGUAAUGGUGGGAACUCAUGGGAGACUGCCGGGGUCAACUCGGAGGAAGGUGGGGAUGACGUCAAAUCAUCAUGCCCCUUAUGUCUUGGGCUUCACGCAUGCUACAAUGGCCAGUACAAAGGGCUGCAAUACCGUAAGGUGGAGCGAAUCCCAAAAAGCUGGUCUCAGUUCGGAUUGAGGUCUGCAACUCGACCUCAUGAAGUCGGAGUCGCUAGUAAUCGCAGAUCAGCAACGCUGCGGUGAUACGUUCCCGGGCCUUGUACACACCGCCCGUCAAGUCACGAAAGUCGGUAACACCCGAAGCCGGUGGCCUAACCGCAAGGAAGGAGCCGUCGAAGGU